Molecule: ribosomal RNA, 400 nt
Filed under: uncultured bacterium
Lineage: Bacteria
Description: bacterial SSU rRNA
Rfam family: Bacterial small subunit ribosomal RNA
Source: RNAcentral
AUUGAACGCUGGCGGCGUGCCUAACACAUGCAAGUCGAGCGGUAACAGGUGUAGCAAUACAUGCUGACGAGCGGCGAACGGGUGAGUAAUGCUUCGGAAUCUGCCCAUGUAGUGGGGAAUAACCAGCCGAAAGGUUGGCUAAUACCGCAUACGACCCUUGCCCACAAGGCAAAGGUGAAAGGCAGGGGAUCGCAAGACCUUGCGCUAUUGGAUGAGCCGAAGUCGGAUUAGCUAGUUGGUAGGGUAACGGCCUACCAAGGCGACGAUCCGUAGCUGGUCUGAGAGGACGACCAGCCACACUGGGACUGAGACACGGCCCAGACUCCUACGGGAGGCAGCAGUGGGGAAUAUUGGACAAUGGGGCAACCCUGAUCCAGCGACGCCGCGUGUGUGAAGAAGG